This is a long non-coding RNA of Brienomyrus brachyistius, 1749 nucleotides long. RefSeq lists it as uncharacterized. Lineage: Eukaryota; Metazoa; Chordata; Actinopteri; Osteoglossiformes; Mormyridae. The record is from RefSeq and is a predicted model, not a curated record. The transcript is spliced from 2 exons.
CCAAGGUCACUCCGUAUCUUUCAUUUGUAUAACAGUGUUUGCUGCUGCCAGUAUUUCCAUAUCAACAGCAAUGCGCAAGACAGCACGCCGACUGAAAACUGCAGGUGCUUAACUUCAGUCAUCCCUAGCAGUUGGCUUUAUAAAAUCACUCAAGAGCCGGGCACUCCCGCUUUUUCAUGUAGCAUUCCUGCCCAGUGCUAAAAAACAUUAAACAGAAAUAGACAGGAAUGCAGCUUGUCUGUGAAUUUUGUGUCUCUAUGGAAACCGACUCCACAAAACAUUGCACCGCCCUCCAGAUGCAGGGAAAGACAAAUGAGACCAUUUCCCCAAAGAUCCUUGAACAUUGAGGAACUGGGACUGGUGGGUUCAAACCAGAACUCCCUCAGACCACUGAGGAAUUCAUAUCUGAGAUAAAUCUCUUACAGCUGUGGGGAGAUUAUGGUGAUCAAAGGUACACUUUGUUUCUGUUUUUCUUGAAGGUCAACACAGUCUACUGCUCCUAUGUGCCUUGCUGAUGUGCAGGAAGACUGUGGUGAAGUGGAGACACGAAAUAGCUAUGUAAGGAUAAUUGGAAAUUAGAAGAAUGUUCUGUAGUAGUAAUUGAUUGCAGCUUGCGUCGCUUUACAAAAGCCAGACUGUUAAGCGUUGUUGAUGGCACCGGUCACGAGGUUCAGGUAGAACGGAGUGAUGUCUGGGCUUUUUAAGGGUGUGGUACAAAAUUGCUGGUUUGUCAAAAGAAAAUGAACUCAGUGGGUGAAAGAGUGUCGAGUCUCUGAAUGAGACUGGAGAUCCAACCUGUUGAGUCAUUAUUAAAGUAGAGAUUUUAAAAGUGCAAAGUGCAGCGUUAUUGACAUUUGCUGGAGAAGGUGAACGGACAUUCUUGGGCAUGAUGGAGGACAAUCCUUCUCAUCCUGACGUUUGGUCCUGAAAACCCUCUGGGCAGCUUUUUCUUCCAAAGUCCCUCCAUGUUUUCCUGCCGUGAUGUGAAAUAAUCGACGUUGAGGGAGGCAUCAUCAGAUAGCCAAUCUGAAGGAAGCACGACAGCCUGAGAUGUGCUGUGAGUUAUCGCCUCCUUCUUGAUUUGCCUUAAUAGUACAAAACAAGUAAAACUGAAGUCAUUAAUAUUUAUAUAACUUACAUAAACCUGCUAAUUCAGGAUUUUGCCAUGACGAAACCUUGGUCUACUAGUGAAUAAGUAUUGGACGAAUUUUAGAUAUGGUAUGACGAUACGGAAUGAAGCAGAGGCCAAUAUAUUGUUGGGAUGAGGAAGGCUGCAUUCACUCCUCCCCUCAAAUGUCUCUCGUCAUGUUUGCUUUGUGACAUCCCUGUGUUUCCGCUCAGAGGAGGAUCUAUCAGUCGGUUUGGCCCGGUAUGCCUUUCUUCAGAGGACAUGCUGAAGUUUGGCCAAGCUUGAUCCUCAGACACUGAGCAGUUACGCACAUGGAGCCCCCAUGACGCCUACCCUUUGUGGCCCUGUGCUUCAUCUCAUCCUCAACGGUCUUCACAAUGUGCAAUCACUUGAAUCCCUUGAAGGCCAAUCUCUGCCCCUCCCCCGGGCACAAAGACUAGAUGAAAACCUUCUUGGUGCCUUCAGGAGUCAACUGGACUGCAUUUAACUAGCCUGCGUCCAGUGCUUACAUCUGUCUUUGCAAUUCAGCUUCUGGCUUGGCAGGAUCAUCGUCCGACAAGAUGGAAGAAGACUGAAACGUGAAUUAAAUCCGAUUCCAUUUGUCUGUAAUGGCAAAACCA